This 531-nucleotide ribosomal RNA is filed under the name Colletotrichum acutatum. Its description in RNAcentral is "eukaryotic LSU rRNA". The stretch from base 194 to 347 matches the Rfam family "5.8S ribosomal RNA". Lineage: Eukaryota; Fungi; Ascomycota; Sordariomycetes; Glomerellales; Glomerellaceae. The record is from RNAcentral.
AGGGAUCAUUACUGAGUUACCGCUCUAUAACCCUUUGUGAACAUACCUAACCGUUGCUUCGGCGGGCAGGGGAAGCCUCUCGCGGGCCUCCCCUCCCGGCGCCGGCCCCCACCACGGGGACGGGGCGCCCGCCGGAGGAAACCAAACUCUAUUUACACGACGUCUCUUCUGAGUGGCACAAGCAAAUAAUUAAAACUUUUAACAACGGAUCUCUUGGUUCUGGCAUCGAUGAAGAACGCAGCGAAAUGCGAUAAGUAAUGUGAAUUGCAGAAUUCAGUGAAUCAUCGAAUCUUUGAACGCACAUUGCGCUCGCCAGCAUUCUGGCGAGCAUGCCUGUUCGAGCGUCAUUUCAACCCUCAAGCACCGCUUGGUUUUGGGGCCCCACGGCACACGUGGGCCCUUAAAGGUAGUGGCGGACCCUCCCGGAGCCUCCUUUGCGUAGUAACUAACGUCUCGCACUGGGAUCCGGAGGGACUCUUGCCGUAAAACCCCCAAAUUUUUUACAGGUUGACCUCGGAUCAAGUAGGAAUA